UACGGAGGAUCCGAGCGUUAUCCGGAUUUAUUGGGUUUAAAGGGUGCGCAGGCGGGUUGCUAAGUCGGUGGUGAAAUCCCGGGGCUCAACCCCUGGCUUGCCAUCGAAACUGGUUACCUUGAGUAUGGGUGAGGCAGGCGGAAUUCGUGGUGUAGCGGUGAAAUGCAUAGAUAUCACGAGGAACCCCGAUCGCGUAGGCAGCUUGCCAUUCCAUCACUGACGCUCAUGCACGAAGGCGUGGGGAUCAAACAGGAUUAGAUACC
Molecule: ribosomal RNA, 263 nt
Filed under: uncultured bacterium
Lineage: Bacteria
Description: partial 16S ribosomal RNA
Rfam family: Bacterial small subunit ribosomal RNA
Source: RNAcentral